Molecule: ribosomal RNA, 121 nt
Filed under: Penicillium salamii
Lineage: Eukaryota; Fungi; Ascomycota; Eurotiomycetes; Eurotiales; Aspergillaceae
Source: RNAcentral
ACAUACGACCACAGGGUGCGGAGAACAGGGCUUCCCGUCCGCUCAGCCGUACUUAAGCCACACGCCGGUGAGUUAGUAGUUGGGUGGGUGACCACCAGCGAAUCCUCACUGUUGUAUGUUU